This is a long non-coding RNA of Xiphophorus couchianus (Monterrey platyfish), 125 nucleotides long. RefSeq lists it as uncharacterized. The transcript has 4 exons. The record is from RefSeq and is a predicted model, not a curated record. NCBI's taxonomy places the organism in Eukaryota, Metazoa, Chordata, Actinopteri, Cyprinodontiformes, Poeciliidae.
CGCAUGUACAUUUAUCCCAGAUGCUGACAGAGAGGUCUGCAACUCUCUGGAGGUGAUGCGUGGGUUGGCCUUUACCUGCAUUAUUAUUUUUCUGGUUCUUCUUUGUGUUCUGUUGUUGGGCUUCU